This is a long non-coding RNA of Arachis duranensis, 2218 nucleotides long. RefSeq lists it as uncharacterized. The transcript is spliced from 7 exons. NCBI's taxonomy places the organism in Eukaryota, Viridiplantae, Streptophyta, Magnoliopsida, Fabales, Fabaceae. The record is from RefSeq and is a predicted model, not a curated record.
GUCACGCUCCUUGAUCUUAGUGAUAACCAAAUUAAAAGUUUAUCUAUUUAGCCUCAUCUAAUGUUGCUUUCUUAGUUUCUUUCAAUAGGUCACUUUCACACUAUCAUGCGCAUAUGAUGAGAAACCUUGAAUUUGUUGUUAAUUUGAAUGGAGUCAUAGUAGUUUUCAUUCUUAUUUUAUUUUGUUUUCUCCCUCAACGCCAAAAUUAUCUUUCAGUCUAAAGAAUCGUUGGUGGAGCUGCUGCAAAAUCUCGUAGACAUAGAUAUUACAUUCCAAGGUUGAAGAUUAACAAUCAGCACAAUGUUGUCUAGAACCACCUCUCUCUUUCCCCCUGUUCGAACCGUAGAGACCUGGGCAUCCUUCUUUCCAGGUUUUGGUUUCAAAAUUCUUUUAAUUUCUGUUGAGUUCAAUUAAUUUUAGGUUGUUAAAAUAGGAUUAGAUUAGGUUUUGAUUCUGAAUAGCUGAGAAAUGUUUAGAUUGUUAAUCUGGAUUGCUGAACAUUGCUGAACAUUGUUAAUAUGAGCUUGAUGAAUGUUGUCUAGAACAGAAAUUUAAUUCAGUUAAUGGCUUCUUCUCUGGUAAUGCUUCUUCUCGGUAAUAAUCUGUAAUUUCUAUUGAUCCUUCUUGGUGCUGUGGUGGUUGUGAUUGAGAUCCGGAAUUUGAUUCUUCUUCUUCUAAUUCUUCUCUGCUAAGUUGUUCAAUUUCUAUUUUGUGCUUAAUUUCUUCUUCUUCCUCUUUUCUUUCUUGAAUUUCUGCUAUUGUUGCUGCGAAUUUCUUGAUCACCCACUGCUGCCAAUUUCGCAGCUACAUGUGCCAAGGCAUUUCCUUCUCUCGGAAUCCAGGUAAUGCCACAUUUCUUUAUGCCCCCUAAUAGCUCCCACAUGUCCUGAAGAAUUCAUUGAAUCUCUACCAUGGAACUUUUUGACUUAAUUAUUUGGCAUAACUUUUGAUUAUCAAUCUCUAUAAUUACCUGUUCUAACUGAAAGUUUUUUGCCACUAUUAGUGCAUUCCUGACUACUUCUACUUCUGCAGCGAGAUUUGAGUUAACAAAUAAUCUUGCUGCCAAACUAGUGAGGAAUUUUUCAUGUGAUCCCUGAAGACUGCUGCAAUUGCACCUAAUGAUGCAUUCACAUUAGCUUUAACCCAAUUUGUAGUUGGCGGUCUCCAGAACUCCUGCUUCAAAUGUUGAAACUGAAUGCUCAUUUGGACAAUAUUGAAUUUGUGCUCCAAACCAAGCUGCUCUUGUCCAUGGACAAAGUAGAAGAGCAUGCUCUAUCGUUUUCAGUACCUGCAAGCAAAAUGGACAUAAGGAGGAAUUUGAAAGAGGAAGGAGAAGAAGAAGAGUUGACACUGAUAGUGAUCUUUGGAGCUUACUUAGAUUAUGUAUCAUGCUGUAGUCUUUUAAGAUCAAAGUUUAAAUGUUUUUCCCCUUUGAUUUCGUGUUUUGUAGGAUUCAUUUGCUGGUGAAGCUAAUCAUGGUCAGCCUUCUAGACAAGUGUCACCGUCUUCAUUAAUGGUGCAAAUGAAGCAAGUCAGGAGAACGAGCCACCAAUGAUGGCAGCAUGCGUUCAAGUUUGCUACCCAUCUCACUGUGUUACAUGUUAAGUGAUACUCCAAUACACAGUUUGGUCUUAACAAAUGAGAAAUAAAUUAAUAUAGCAUGCGUUCAAGUCUGCUAUAUAAACACCAUUCAUGAAUUUGCCUCAUCAAAAAAUUGUGAACGCUAAGAGAACAAAGAAAACUUAUUAACCAGAGAAGAAAACAAUGAGUUCAGAAGAUUGCCUUGGUUGGGCUGCAAGAGAUGCAUCUGGACAUCUCUCCCCGUACAAAUUCAAUCGCAGAAGUAGAGAUAGACUGCUUCAAUCAGAUAUACAUGCGGUGGCGGCAUAUUUGAGAUGAAUGAAUUGAAGCUAAGGGUGGCGGUCCGUACGGUGUCCGAACUUAUGCUGGUGGUGAUGGAUCAAGACAACCAACUAAAUUUGAGUUAGAUCAAGCAUUAUAUUGCCACCAUCACUAAAAAGCUCAAGAAAGAAUGAAGCUAUCCAUAAAUUAGGGUAUUGAAUCCUGAUGAGUCACUAGUAGUUACUUGUCAUCUAAUGUAUUCAGUUUAUAUUAUUGCAUGGAAAUAAUUGCUUCUUAUUAUAAAGAAAGCACUUUGUACUCACUUGUGUGUUUUUCUAUUUGUACCAUCAAUAAAAAUUUGUAUUUAUUAAAUUUA